UAGGGAAUAUUGGACAAUGGGGGCAACCCUGAUCCAGCCAUGCCGCGUGAGUGAAGAAGGCCCUCGGGUUGUAAAGCUCUUUUGUCCGGAAAGAAAAGCUUCGGGUUAAUACCCCGGGGUUCUGACGGUACCGGAAGAAUAAGCACCGGCUAACUUCGUGCCAGCAGCCGCGGUAAUACGAAGGGUGCAAGCGUUACUCGGAAUUACUGGGCGUAAUGCGUGCGUAGGUGGUUGUUUAAGUCUGAUGUGAAAGCCCUGGGCUCAACCUGGGAAUGGCAUUGGAAACUGGGCAGCUAGAGUGCGGUAGAGNGUAGUGGAAUUCCCGGUGUAGCAGUGAAAUGCGUAGAGAUCGGGAGGAACAUCUGUGGCGAAGGCGACUGCCUGGACCAGCACUGACACUGAGGCACGAAAGCGUGGGGAGCAAACA
This 427-nucleotide ribosomal RNA is filed under the name uncultured bacterium. Its description in RNAcentral is "bacterial SSU rRNA". It matches the Rfam family "Bacterial small subunit ribosomal RNA", at positions 355 to 774 of the family's 1533-position model. The record is from RNAcentral.